AUUUAGUAAAACAUCUGGCACAGGUAAUUAUUUUAUUUCGCUCACCUUUAAGUGGAACGAAGCGAUAAAAACUCAAUUAAUUUAUUGCUUGCUAGGCCGCCUGCCAGCUUGCGUAAAUUAAUUCUAAAUUGUAAUAAUUUCUAAUGCUGAUUUGCGGUUAUAGGCUUGAGAAAAUACCCAGAGCACGAGUGACGGUGACCAGAGUUUUGCCGCCAAGCAGAUCGAU
Molecule: long non-coding RNA, 226 nt
Organism: Cotesia glomerata
Lineage: Eukaryota; Metazoa; Arthropoda; Insecta; Hymenoptera; Braconidae
Exons: 3
Source: RefSeq, a predicted model, not a curated record